Molecule: ribosomal RNA, 468 nt
Filed under: uncultured bacterium
Lineage: Bacteria
Description: partial 16S ribosomal RNA
Rfam family: Bacterial small subunit ribosomal RNA
Source: RNAcentral
GACGAACGCUGGCGGCGUGCUUAACACAUGCAAGUCGAACGGAAAGGCCCUGCUUUUGUGGGGUGCUCGAGUGGCGAACGGGUGAGUAACACGUGAGUAACCUGCCCUUUACUUUGGGAUAACUUCAGGAAACUGGGGCUAAUACCGGAUAUGAGCUCCUGCUGCAUGGUGGGGGUUGGAAAGUUUCGGCGGUUGGGGAUGGACUCGCGGCUUAUCAGCUUGUUGGUGGGGUAGUGGCUUACCAAGGCUUUGACGGGUAGCCGGCCUGAGAGGGUGACCGGCCACAUUGGGACUGAGAUACGGCCCAGACUCCUACGGGAGGCAGCAGUGGGGAAUAUUGCAAAAUGGGCGGAAGCCUGAUGCAGCAACGCCGCGUGCGGGAUGACGGCCUUCGGGUUGUAAACCGCUUUCGCCUGUGAAGAAGAGUGAGUGACGGUAAUGGGUAAAGAAGCACCGGCUAACUACGUG